AUUGAACGCUGGCGGCAGGCCUAACACAUGCAAGUCGAACGGUAACAGGAAGAAGCUUGCUUCUUUGCUGACGAGUGGCGGACGGGUGAGUAAUGUCUGGGAAACUGCCUGAUGGAGAGGGAUAACUACUGGAAACGGUAGCUAAUACCGCAUAACGUCGCAAGACCAAAAAGGGGGACCUUCGGGCCUCUUGCCAUCGGAUGUGCCCAGAUGGGAUUAGCUAGUAGGUGGGGUAACGGCUCACCUAGGCGACGAUCCCUAGCUGGUCUGAGAGGAUGACCAGCCACACUGGAACUGAGACACGGUCCAGACUCCUACGGGAGGCAGCAGUGGGGAAUAUUGCGCAAUGGGCGCAAGCCUGAUGCAGCCAUGCCGCGUGUAUGAAGAAGGCCUUCGGGUUGUAAAGUACUUUCAGCGGGGAGGAAGGGAGUAAAGUUAAGACCUUUGCUCAUUGACGUUACCCGCAGAAGAAGCACCGGCUAACUCCGU
RNAcentral lists this ribosomal RNA (489 nucleotides) under uncultured bacterium. RNAcentral's name for it is "partial 16S ribosomal RNA". It matches the Rfam family "Bacterial small subunit ribosomal RNA", at positions 30 to 506 of the family's 1533-position model. The record is from RNAcentral.